Molecule: RNase P RNA, 335 nt
Filed under: Acetomicrobium sp.
Lineage: Bacteria; Thermotogati; Synergistota; Synergistia; Synergistales; Acetomicrobiaceae
Also listed under: 1 other name
Description: RNase P RNA component class A
Rfam family: Bacterial RNase P class A
About the family: Ribonuclease P (RNase P) is a ubiquitous endoribonuclease, found in archaea, bacteria and eukarya as well as chloroplasts and mitochondria. Its best characterised activity is the generation of mature 5'-ends of tRNAs by cleaving the 5'-leader elements of precursor-tRNAs.
Source: RNAcentral
CGAGUAUUCCAGAUGGCCGCGUUCCGCAUAGGAAUGAGGAAAGUCCGGGCUCCAUAGGGCGAAGCGCUGGAUAACAUCCAGCAGGCGCGAGCCUCGGGAGAGUGCCACAGAAACAUACCGCUCCCUUUAGGAGUAAGGGUGAAAAGGUGGGGUAAGAGCCCACCGGUCAUCGGGUGACCGAUGAGCCAGGCAAACCCCGCUUGGAGCAAGAUCAAAUAGGGAGGGAUGAGGUGGCCCGCCGACCUCCGGGUUGAUCGCUUAAGAAAGGGCGCGAGUCCUUUCUUAGAGAAAUGGCCAUCGUUGUCACAGAACCCGGCUUACGGGAUGCUCGAAAG